GUCCGGGUGGCGAAAUUGGUAGACGCGCAAGCUUGAGGUGCUUGUGGCCGCAAGGCCUUAGGGGUUCAAGUCCCCUUUCGGACA
Molecule: transfer RNA, 84 nt
Filed under: Actinomycetales bacterium
Lineage: Bacteria; Bacillati; Actinomycetota; Actinomycetes; Actinomycetales
Also listed under: 1 other name
Description: tRNA-Leu
Rfam family: tRNA
About the family: Transfer RNA (tRNA) molecules are approximately 80 nucleotides in length. Their secondary structure includes four short double-helical elements and three loops (D, anti-codon, and T loops).
Source: RNAcentral